This 219-nucleotide small RNA is filed under the name Vigna angularis var. angularis. RNAcentral describes it as "Non-protein coding transcript". Lineage: Eukaryota; Viridiplantae; Streptophyta; Magnoliopsida; Fabales; Fabaceae. The record is from RNAcentral.
CCUCCUCUAUGAUUGCAUGUUAUCGUGGGAUUCUGUCGUGGCCUCCACUGAGAAUUCCGUCUCUACAUUUCGAAGUCCCUCACCAUCUUUUUGUGGGUCGCGGUCAUCUGUCCUGUGUUUGUUUCGGUUGUCGUGUGGCCUUCGGUGGUGUGGUGGUGUUGGACUUCCUCCUCUCCAUGGCUUUGAUUUGUGCAAAGAUGGUUAGAACCAGAGAUGGAU